RNAcentral lists this long non-coding RNA (1453 nucleotides) under Macaca fascicularis (crab-eating macaque). Its description in RNAcentral is "lncRNA (ENSMFAG00000051819.1)". The record is from RNAcentral. Lineage: Eukaryota; Metazoa; Chordata; Mammalia; Primates; Cercopithecidae.
UUUUUUUUUUUUUUUUAAAUAGAGACGGGGUCUUGUUCUGUCACCUACCCUGAAGUUCGGUGGCAUGAUCCUAACUCACUGCAGCCUUGAGCUCCUGGGCUCAAGCGAUCUUUCUGCCUCAGCCUCCCAAAUAGCUGGGACUAGAGGUGCCCAGCUAGUUCUUUAAAUUAUUAUUUGUAGAGAUGGGGUCUUGCCAUAUUGCCCAGACUCCUCUUGAACUCCUGGCCUCAAAUUAUCCUCCUGCCUCAGCUUCCCAAAGUGCUGGGAUUGCAGGUGUGAGCUGCCGCACCCAGGCAGCCAAUCUUCCUUUGUGAGAAAGGGCUCUGGGGUGGACUUUCUGAGGAAUAGGGGGUGAAGCUGUGGACCCAGGGCAGUCUUUUCUAUCAUGUGUAAAGAUCCUGGCUGAAUUGUCCCCACUACAUUGAUACUGUUGAUCCCUUAGUUUUAUGUUAUUUAUCCCAGGCUUCUAGAUUUUUUUUCGGUCCUGCCUUGGGAGGAAAAAAAAUGUAAUCCUGUUCCUGCUGGGAACUGUAAUUAUGCUGUUUCUAUAAUAGUAUAAAGUUUAAAUUUAAUGUAGAUCUUAGAUACAUUUUAUUACUAUUGCUUCAUGAGAUUCUUUAUCUAAUUACAACUGUCAUCAAGUUUGUCAUUUUACUUUCAAGAAUACUGAGCAUUGGCCGGGUGCAGUGGCUCAUGCCUGUAAUCCCAGCACUUUGGGAGGCCAAGGUGGGUAGAUCACUUGAGGUCAGGAGUUCGAGACCCGCCUGGCCAACAAGGUAAAACCCGUUUCUACUAAAAAUACAAAAAUCAGCCAGGUGUGGUGGCAUGCACUUGUAGUCCCAGCUACUGGAAAGUCUGAAGCAAGAGAAUCAUUUGAACUCGGGAGGCAGAGGUUGCAGUGAGCUGAGAUCACAACACUGGACUCCAGCCUGGGCCACAGAGUGAGACUUUGUCUCAAAGAAGUAAAUAAAAGAAUACUGGGCAGAUUCCAAACAGGGUCUGGACUAACUAGGAUAAUAGAGAAGAUUUCUGCUGCCUUUUAGAUGGGAGCUCUAUGGAAUACCUUGGGAAUAAUAGUGGCCACAUUGAGUGCCUGACCCUAGAAUUAUUACUUGUGACUAAUGGUAUGUGUAUUGGUUAUCGAUUGCUGUGUAACAAGCUACUCCAAAACUUAGCAACUUAAACCAACAUGCAUUUAUUAUCUCAUGGUUUCCAUGAAUCAAGUGUCUGAGCACAGCUUAACUGGGUUCUCCAUAUCAGGAUUUCUCACAAGGCUACAAUUAAGGUGUCAGCCCGGCCAGAUGUCUCAUCUGAAGGCAGGACUGAGGAAGGAUCUGCUUCCAAGUUCAUAUAGUGAUUGCAAAAUUCACUGCAUUCCUUAAGGGACUGAGGACUCCAGUCCCUGCUGGCUGUUGGUCAGUGCUCACUUCGUGUCUUGCCGUGUGAGCCUCUC